GGGCCCUUAGCUCAGUCGGUUAGAGCAGCAGACUCAUAAUCUGCGGGUCGUAGGUUCGAGUCCUACAGGGCCCACUA
This 77-nucleotide transfer RNA is filed under the name Ignavibacteria bacterium. RNAcentral describes it as "tRNA-Met". It matches the Rfam family "tRNA". From Rfam's summary of the family: Transfer RNA (tRNA) molecules are approximately 80 nucleotides in length. Their secondary structure includes four short double-helical elements and three loops (D, anti-codon, and T loops). The record is from RNAcentral. Lineage: Bacteria; Pseudomonadati; Ignavibacteriota; Ignavibacteria.